This 90-nucleotide transfer RNA is filed under the name Rosa chinensis. Its description in RNAcentral is "tRNA RchiOBHm_Chr6g0298041". The stretch from base 16 to 88 matches the Rfam family "tRNA". From Rfam's summary of the family: Transfer RNA (tRNA) molecules are approximately 80 nucleotides in length. Their secondary structure includes four short double-helical elements and three loops (D, anti-codon, and T loops). RNAcentral also lists the same sequence under 1 other name. The record is from RNAcentral. Lineage: Eukaryota; Viridiplantae; Streptophyta; Magnoliopsida; Rosales; Rosaceae.
CCGACUAUCAACAGCGACUCCGUGGCCCAAUGGAUAAGGCGCUGGUCUACGAAACCAGAGAUUCUGGGUUCGAUCCCCAGCGGAGUCGAC